This 497-nucleotide ribosomal RNA is filed under the name uncultured bacterium. Its description in RNAcentral is "partial 16S ribosomal RNA". It matches the Rfam family "Bacterial small subunit ribosomal RNA", at positions 28 to 507 of the family's 1533-position model. The record is from RNAcentral.
GAUGAACGCUGGCGGCGUGCCUAAUACAUGCAAGUCGAGCGAACAGAUAAGGAGCUUGCUCCUUUGACGUUAGCGGCGGACGGGUGAGUAACACGUGGGUAACCUACCUAUAAGACUGGAAUAACUCCGGGAAACCGGGGCUAAUGCCGGAUAACAUUUAGAACCGCAUGGUUCUAAAGUGAAAGAUGGUUUUGCUAUCACUUAUAGAUGGACCCGCGCCGUAUUAGCUAGUUGGUAAGGUAACGGCUUACCAAGGCAACGAUACGUAGCCGACCUGAGAGGGUGAUCGGCCACACUGGAACUGAGACACGGUCCAGACUCCUACGGGAGGCAGCCGUAGGGAAUCUUCCGCAAAGGGCGAAAGCCUGACGGAGCAACGCCGCGUGAGUGAUGAAGGUCUUCGGAUCGUAAAACUCUGUUAUUAGGGAAGAACAAAUGUGUAAGUAACUGUGCACGUCUUGACGGUACCUAAUCAGAAAGCCACGGCUAACUACGUG